Long non-coding RNA from Callithrix jacchus (white-tufted-ear marmoset), 2732 nucleotides. NCBI's taxonomy places the organism in Eukaryota, Metazoa, Chordata, Mammalia, Primates, Cebidae. The record is from Ensembl.
AUGACAUUUUUGCCUCUUGGGAUCUCCUUUGCCCAUGUUUACUUUUUCCUCAGCAAGGCACCAGUCGCACAGUGCCUGUCUGGCAAUCACCUACGCUGGCACUGUUUCUCUAAAAUGCUUUUCUCCAUCUUUUGGUUUCUAUGGAUAAAGGAAAGUCAAAGACAAAUUUAUUUCUGCGUUUGUGUGUAUUCUUAUUAUUUAAGACAUUUGGAAAUACAGCAUCUAAUUGUUGCAUGUUUCAAACCCAUAUCCAAUCAUCAGCAAAUACUGUAUACUUUACCUUCAACUACAUCCUAAAUCUGACCUCUUCAUACCUCCUCCUCUACGACUGUGCUCCAGGUGACCUUUUUCUCUCAUCUGGAUGACUAUAGCUUCCUAGCUGCUUGUCUGGGUUCUGCUUCUCUUAUUUUUCUUCUACCAUUAGGUCUCCCCCCAGCAAUCAAGUGAGGGUUGGUUGAUUGGUUGGUUGGUUGGUUCGUUUGAGACAGAGCCUUGCUCUGUCACCCAGCCUGGAGUGCAGUGGUGUGAUCUCUGCUCACUGCAAUCUCCACCUCCUGGGUUCAAGAGAUUCUCCUGCUUCAGUCUCCUGAGUAGCUGAAAUUACAAGCAUGUGCCACUGCGCCUGGCUUAUUUUUGUGUUUUUAGUAGAGAUGGGUUUUCACCGUGUUGGCCAGGCGGGUCUUGAAUUCCUGGCCUCAAGUGAUCCACCCACUUUGGCCUUCCAGUGUGCUGAGAUUAAGCCACCAGGCCCGACCUCAGGUGAGGUUUUUAAGAUGCAGGUCAGUCAAGACAUUUCUGUCUCCCAUCACUCAGCAUGGUUGAGUCCUUACUUCCGCUUACAAGUUUGAUCAGCUUGAUCCAUUUGCUGGCUACUUCUCCAAACUCAUCUCUGCUCCGUGCAUGUCAGCCUCUUUUGCUAUCCACAUUCACAACCACUCCAAUUCCAGGAUCUUUGCAUUUGCAGUUCUUUGUGCCUAGAACACUCUUUCCCAAAUGUUUGCCCUGAUGCUCGAUGUCUUCCUUCAGAUGUCUAGCUAAUUGCCUCCUCCUCGCUGAGGCCUUCCUUCACCACUCAGUAUAAAAUAGCACCUCCUGAGCCCAGCAUGGUGGCUCACGCCUGUAAUCCAAGCACUUUGGAGGCCAAGGCGGGCAGAUCACCUGCGGUCAGGAGUUCAAGACCAGCCUGACCAACAUGGUGAAACCCUGUCUUAAAAAAAAAAAAAAAAUAGCACCUCCUGUACUCCUUAUUCCCAGAUCAUGCUUUUCUUGACAAUACUUCUGAUUUUUAAAUUAAUAUUAUUUGAGACAGGGUCUCACUCUGUUGCCCAGACUGGAAUGCAGUGGCUGGAUCUGGGCUCACUGUAACCUCUGCCUCCUGGGCUCAAGUGAUCCUCUCGUUACAGCCUCCCAAGUAGCUGGGUCUACCGGUACACGCCACCACACCCAGCUAAUUUUUGUAUUUUUAGUAGAGACAGGGUUUCAUCAUGUUGCCCAGGCUGGCUCCAAAUUCCUGAGCUUAAGUGAUCCACUGGCCUUGGCUUCCCAAAGUGCUGGAAUUACUGUAGGUGUGAGAUGUUUCGAAAAUAUGCAUUUAAACAUCUGUAUGUGUUUGUCUGUCUUCCACCAUUAAGAUAGAAACUCUUUGAGACUAGGAACUUUGUUCUUUUUUACUGCUGGAUUGGCAGGGCACAGAACAAGCCAUACAUGUAAUAGGCACUCAGCAAUUAUGUUUGAAUGAAUCUUUCUUUCAUUUACACUUUUUUUUUGCAACAUAUUACCCCAAAUUGCAAAGGCUGAGCUUGACUCUAUGCUAUUGGAGACCUCUCUACCAGAAAGAGGAAACAGUUGUCUCUGCCAAUAUCACCUUCUUUAAAAAAAUCAUUUUUAAUUGACAAGUAAUUGUACAUAUCAAUACUUCAUUUUAUUAAACACUCUUUCAUGCCAAUGCCUAAUGAAGGAUAAAUACAAGUCCGCAGCUAUGUUCUUCCUAUUCCGGGUUCCUCAAGGAGAGGGCUAUGGGGGUGAAUAAACCUUUGGAGGAGGGAAAACAAAGCCAUUUCUUGAUGCUGAAGAGAAUAUACGUCAUGUUUUUUUUUUUUUCCCCUGAAGCUGCAGGCAUCACGGGGAUUAUGAACACCCACAUCCUCGCUUUCCCCCAGGACUUCUUUGAGAGAUAAGUUGAAGAGAAGGGAUUUGGGGGCUGGUGUUCCCUAAUGUUGCAAGGCUUAUUUUAAUUGGAAGAACACCCAGUUAAUGGAAAGAAAAUAGCAUGCUCUUAAGCCUAAAUCUAGAUUGAAGUGAACGAUGCGCCUUUACGUUCGCUGUGGAUCCUGUUUACUGGGCUGGAUAAAGAAUCAGAGUGGAUUUAGAUUAUUGUACUACGCACUAUUAUUAUUAUUAUUAUUAUUAUUAGACUGAGUCUUGCUCUGUUGCCCAGGCUGUGCAGUGGCCUGAUAUUCACUUGCUGCUACCUCUGCCUCCUAGGUUCAAGUGAUUCUCCUGCCUCAGUCUCCUGAGUAGCUGGGAUUACAGGUGUGUGCCACCAUGCCCUGCUAAUUUUUGUAUUUUUAGUAGAGAUGGGUUUCACCAUGUUGAUCAGAUUGGUCUCUAACUCCUGACCUCACGAUCCACCUGCCUCAGCCUCCCAAAGUGCUGGGACUACAGACGUAAGCCACUGCUCCUGGCCAAUUAUUCUUAAUUUCAUAAUGAAUAGCAGUCCUACAAGGUAGAUA